Molecule: ribosomal RNA, 400 nt
Filed under: uncultured bacterium
Lineage: Bacteria
Description: bacterial SSU rRNA
Rfam family: Bacterial small subunit ribosomal RNA
Source: RNAcentral
GGGGGAUAUUGCACAAUGGGGGAAACCCUGAUGCAGCGAUGCCGCGUGUAGGAAGACGGUCCUCUGGAUUGUAAACUACUGUCUUCAGGGACGAUAAUGACGGUACCUGAGGAGGAAGCUCCGGCUAACUACGUGCCAGCAGCCGCGGUAAUACGUAGGGAGCGAGCGUUGUCCGGAAUUACUGGGUGUAAAGGGAGCGUAGGCGGGGUCUUAAGUCCGUUGUGAAAUCUACCGGCUCAACCGGUAGCUGCGGCGGAAACUGGGACUCUUGAGUGAAGUAGAGGCAGGCGGAAUUCCUAGUGUAGCGGUGAAAUGCGUAGAUAUUAGGAGGAACACCGGUGGCGAAGGCGGCUCUCUGGACCGAUACUGACGCUGAGACGCGAAAGCGUGGGUAGCAAAC